RNAcentral lists this long non-coding RNA (5353 nucleotides) under Homo sapiens (human). RNAcentral's name for it is "non-protein coding lnc-EBLN1-1:1". The stretch from base 3555 to 3671 matches the Rfam family "Metazoan signal recognition particle RNA". Lineage: Eukaryota; Metazoa; Chordata; Mammalia; Primates; Hominidae. The record is from RNAcentral.
GUUGAACUUUCUCUUAGGGGAAACAGUUUAAUCCCCAAGUACUAUGAGAUAGGCGUUUUAAGGCAACUUUUUAAAAAGGAAAAUAAAUCUGCUUUUUGCCGUCUAGGAAAGAUACAUUUUUCCUUGUGGAAAUCUGCAGUCUGAAAAGACAGAUAUGAAAAGCAUGAACUGUUGAAAAUAACCUAAAUGUUCUUUGAAAAUUUAAAGGCCAGCUUAUCCUGCAAUGGUGAUAGAAUAGUCGGCUUACAACACGCAAAGCCGAGCCGCGGGUGGGCAGGCGCCGCCCGUGGCUCGCGGAGUGGAUGCACUCGAGGGCGCGGCCGCUGCGCUUGGGGAACUUUCAGGGCGCCAAGUACGGGUAGCGCUUCUGAUGGAUUCCCGGGUCUGGGAGGAUCCGAUUAUCCCGGGGCCGGGUGACACGCACAAAGCUGAGGUUAGAGUUGGCCAGGAAGGGAGGACCUGGUGAGCCGGUGGAACAAAAGCGGGAAGGCCUUUCCUUCUAGGAGCAAAACCAGCGACGCGUCCCGGACGCCCGGGGACCCCUGUGGGUCUCGGUUUCCUUCGCUGUGACCCUGACAUGUUUCCCUCCACCGGCCCGAGGAAACCGUCGCUUCCAGCCUCCAGGUACCGUCACCUCUGCGGGGCUGCGAGCGGAGGACCGGGACAGAGAAGGAGCCGGCGGUCCUGGCCAGCCGCGCGGCUCAAAACCCGACGGCGCGGGGACUCCGGGCCUGGGGCCUCCAUGGCUGUGGCCUCCUUAUCUCCCGGGCCGGCUGCUCCCUACGCUGCGGGGCUGAGGGCACUGGGGACCCAGGGGCUUCUCUGGCACUAGCGAGGACCUAACCUUGAGUGAAGAACGAUGUCAAGUGAAAGUGAAGAAUAACGGGGGUGGGCGCGAAGAGAAUGGUCUUGGGGCGCGCUUGCGCCUCUACCCGAGGACCGAGGUGGGGAUUCGACAGACGCCAGCGGUGGGGAUCCGGGGCGAGAAGCCCCGACUUUCUGAGUCGUGAGCCGCCUCCAGUCGCCCCAGGACGUAACCCCGAGGAGCUUUCAGACACUGGCCGCGCCUAAUAUCGCUGAGAACCGCGAAAACCGGAGUUCCGGCCGCCUCCCGGACUGGCGUCCCGAGGCCAGGGGACCCGCUUGGGGCUCCCGGCCGAGCCCCGACCUCGGACGUUUUUCCGGGAGCCGCGAGAGGCCUGGGGGCCUGGGCCAGGCGCCGCGGCGGGCAUCGAUCGCCGGCUCCCAGAGAGUGGCCCCGCGCAGGUGGAGGUGACCCCGUCACCUCCAGGAGCGCCCCCAAGCCCCGGUACCCGCAGCGUGCGCCCUCUCCUCCUCCCCGAAGGUUAAGUUCGUCUUUUUCGGUUCUCGGUUACGCAUCCCCUUGGCACGCAUGCCCAGCCACACCGUGGGCGAAACUAGAGGGCCCGCGUCCCCUGGGGGCUGCCGCGGGGCCCCGAGUGAGGUGUCCCCUCCGGGCCGGGCCCGAGUCGGAGGCCCCCUUUGCAGCCUAGAGGAGCGCGGGGCUGGCGCUGCGCAGGAACCGCCAGGCCGGGGAGGGGGCCGCGCCCGGGCCUGGGCCAAGAGCGCGCGUCCCCCGCCCGGGCCCUGCGGCCCUCCCCAGGUGUCUGAGCAGAGCUGCUGAAGCUGCAGAAAUGUGCUGGCGCCUGUCCACCGCCGCACACAAAACCCAGCCAAAAGCGGCGAGAGGAAAAGCGAAUAUGGCGCUGCUGAAAAUGGAGACUCCGCAUCUAGAAAGUCUUUCUUUCCUUUCCUCUUUUCGCUCUUACUUCGUCGAUCUUUUCCCCCUUGCCCUCUCACGAGGGCCUCCUGCGCUUUCCUUCGGGUGUUCUCUACCCCUCGGCCCCUUUCCUGUUCUUAUGAAUAACCUCCUUUACUCGGUUUUCCUUCUUCCUUUCCACUCCCGGUUCCUCUUUCUCCAUUUUGUGUCACAGGCGCCUUGCUUCUUGUUCCCUUUCAGGGCGCGCACUCCCCCGCCCGGCUCACUUUAUUUUGUGUGUGGGUGGCGGAGCAGGGAGGGGGUGGCAAGGAUCGUGAGGCUAAGUAUCGAGUUUGUUUGUUUGUUUUUCUUUCUUUCUUCUUCUUCUUUUUAAAGGUGUUAUCUUAGGAGCCAAGCAUCUCCUUUGGUCCUGCGCUCCUUCGCCUAGCGCCUGGUGCCCCCCACCCGGCUGCAUCCGAGGCUUGCGCGGCCCGGUCCCAUCAGCCGAGCGUCGCCCGCCCAGGAGGAGGCUCGGGUUCUCCGCAGAAGCGAAUACUUUCUCUUUUUGUUUUAAGUUAGAACCUUGCUUUUGCAGUGAUUCGUUGCUGUGGCGUGAUUUUAAACAGGUCGAAAAGCAUCAUGAAGCCAAGUGGUUAUUGUUUUGCUUAUUCAGUGUGAACUGAGUGAGCCAGGUUUGUAUACCAAGUGAUUCUCGUGGUGGACAAUACCAAUAUGAUUAUGCCAAAUGCAUUGCUUCUGAGGCAUCACUCUUUGGGCACAUAUAGACCCUGCUGAUUUCUGCCAAAGCACUCUUCUUAAAGUUCCAAAACAUUACCCCAAAACCUCUAUAGCCCCCUAUUGCCAACAAAAUUAAAGCCUUUCUCUUCAUUGGCAUUAGAAGCCCCUGUAACCCAUUGCUUUUCCAUUUCCAGCCUCUUUCCAAAAUUACCAAACAAACUCUGUAUCCUGCAGCCACCAAACUGUACUAGUUGUAAUAUAUUCACUAAGAACAGUGGUCUCUCAUUUGUCUCUCUUUUCUCUCUUCUUAUAUCAGUUAGAAUGUAACAGACAACCCAGCUAACACAGAGGCUCAUUUUUCUUAUGUGACAAGAAGUCUGUAGAUAAAGAGUUGCUAGUGUUUUCUUGGGGGUUCAGUGAUAUCACCUCUGUGAUUCAGUUGACCUUCAUAUCAUAGUUGCAAAAUGGCUGCCGUAAGUACAAAAACCACACUGACUGCUGGGUGGGAAGGCAACAGAAAAUUUGUUCUUGGUGAGUCUUACUCACGUCAAGGAAGUAUAAUAUUUUCCAAAAUGCCCCACCAAAGGAUUUCCUCUUACAUCAUAUUAGCCAGAACUGGGACAUAUUAUCACCCUUUAUCUGGGGUAGAGGCCCACAUUUCCACAUCAAAGGGAAUUUGCUCAAUGCCUAAAUCAAACUGGAAUUCAGUUAAGCAAAGAAGAAACAGAGGAAUGGUUUUUGGGUAGGCAGUAAACACUGUCAGCUACAUCUCCCUGAAAGCCAUCACUCCCUUAAAAUAUCUUUGCGUAAUGUCAUCAGUUACUUCUGAACUUUUUCAUCCAAUGGACAGUGUUUAUUUUCUAACUUACUUGAACUUUUUGUGGGGCUUAGCCACACCCUUUUUGAAAUUUAUGUAUUCAUCAAAUACCCACUCAUCACUUACUGUGUAUUAGUCACUCUGCUGGGCAAAGAGAAUGAAAAAAUGAGUCAUGCAUGGUCCUGAACCUUCACAAGUUUAUAGCCUAGUGGGGCAGACAGGUGAAUAAAUAAGUGCAAAAGAAUGUUAUAGAUACUGUGAUAAAAUUAUGUUUCGUGGGCCGGGUGUGGUGGCUCAUGCCUGUAAUCUCAGCACUUUGGGAGGCUGAGGCGGGUGGAUCACCUGAGGUCAGGAGUUUGAGACUAGCCUGGCCAACAUGGUGAAACCCCGUCUCUAAUAAAAAAUAACAAAAAUUAGCUGGGCGUGGUGGCAGGCACCUGUAAUCCCAGCGACUGGGAGGCUGAGGCAGGAGAAUUGCUUGAACCCAAGAGGCAGAGAUUGCAGUGAGCUGAGAUCACGCCAUUGCACUGCAGCCUGGGCAACAAGAGAAAACUUUGUCUCAAAAUAAAUAAAUAAUAUGUUUUGUGGGUUUUUUUUUUUUUCUUUGACAGGGUUCUUACUCUGUCACCCAGCCUGGAGUGCAGUGGCACGAUUAUAGCUCACUAUAACCUCGGGCUCCCUGGCUCAAGCAAUUCUCCUGCCUCAGCCUCCUGAGUAGUUGGAACUAUGCAGGCUAAUUAUUUUAUCUUUUGUAGAAAUGGGGUCUUGCUAAGUUAGCCAGGCUUGUCUUGAACUCCUGAGCUCAAGCGGCCUUCCCACAUUGACUUCCCAAAGUGCUGGGAUUACAGGCAUGAGCCACCAUGCCGGGCUUAGAAUGAUGAAUGAGAUAAAAUGGGGUACAAAGAAAGGAGCAGCCAUUUCUGGAUCUCAGGUGUGAUGUCUCUUUUCAGGGAAGGACAGGGGUGAUACAGCCAUUAAUAAAAGCAAUCUCACUUUCCUGGUUGGUUGUCUCUUUGCCUCCUCCCCUGGAAUAAUACAGACCUCUGUAGAAAAUCACAGGCAGGGUAGGGAUGACGGAGCUGGCCUCCUCCCUUCCCUUGGCCUGACAAAUAUGCAUGGAAUUCCCAGGAAUGUUCAAGCUUUUUUUUUUUUUUUUUCCAAACUUCAGAUUAGAAUCCAACUCAUGUAGAAUCCAUGUAGAAUCCGACUCAAACAGAAUCCAUCAGGCAUGAGAAUUCUGGAAUGCCCUUCCUGGUUUAUCUACUUCAUCUGUGUUCCAUGAAGGGCACCUGGUCUCACACCUAGACUCCGGGAGCUCCAGGUCCCUACUCUCUUAGGUUUCAGGGCCUAACCAAUCAGGAUGGCAAGAAGGAUGUAUUUGGGGAGAUCCAAGCCUGUCUGCUUGGCUGUAGUGUAGGACUGGGGGGAAAAGAAAGGCACAGUAAGGAUCAAAACAAGGCUGGAGCAGUAGGUAAAGAUGAGUUCAUGCCAACGUAGGAGGCUUGAAGAUGUUUGGUAAGUCAUAGGUUCCCAAACUUUCCAGCUCACUGCAUCUGUAGCAUCUUCGUAAUUUGUUCAUGGUGCCCUCAGCCAGAAGACAUACUUCACAAUUCCAUUCGUUAAGUAGGUAAGUCUAAACAACAUAUUAGUGGUCAUUUGUGAGGUGUUUGAUAGGUGGGGCUGUAUUUCUCUCAAACAUUUAAAAUAUCCCACAGCAACCUUGUGAGUUUGUUCCCUGUGGUGUCCCAGGGUGACCUGAUGGGAAAUUUGAGAACCAUGGUAUAGGUCGCUAAAGAUUUUUCAUCUGGUGAAUUAAAUAUUUGAUUUUGUAUUUGAGAAAGCGCCAUCUUUCUGUAGAUUGGAGUAAAGGCGUGGUGGGAGGUAAGGAGACCAUAAGUUAGUGGUAGUCAUUUAGGAGAGAAGUGAUGGGGAUAUAAAAUGAGACAUACUAAUGAGCAUGCUGCUGGAUCUAAAAUAUGUUAUGGAGGUAGAAUGGAGAGGAGGAUUUCCUUAUCAAUUGGUUUUUGGAGAGAAAGAAAGAGAGAGGUUGAUUCCUAGACUGUGGGCUUGGGUUAAAG